Molecule: ribosomal RNA, 253 nt
Filed under: uncultured bacterium
Lineage: Bacteria
Description: partial 16S ribosomal RNA
Rfam family: Bacterial small subunit ribosomal RNA
Source: RNAcentral
UACGGGGGGGGCAAGCGUUGUUCGGAAUUACUGGGCGUAAAGGGCGCGUAGGCGGCCUGCUAAGUCGGAUGUGAAAUCCCUCGGCUCAACCGAGGAACUGCAUCCGAUACUGGCGGGCUUGAAUCCGGGAGAGGGAUGUGGAAUUCCAGGUGUAGCGGUGAAAUGCGUAGAUAUCUGGAGGAGCACCGGUGGCGAAGGCGGCAUCCUGGACCGGUAUUGACGCUGAGGCGCGAAAGCUAGGGGAGCAAACGGG